RNAcentral lists this transfer RNA (71 nucleotides) under Eurycea cirrigera (southern two-lined salamander). RNAcentral describes it as "tRNA-Met". It matches the Rfam family "tRNA". Rfam says of the family: Transfer RNA (tRNA) molecules are approximately 80 nucleotides in length. Their secondary structure includes four short double-helical elements and three loops (D, anti-codon, and T loops). The record is from RNAcentral. Lineage: Eukaryota; Metazoa; Chordata; Amphibia; Caudata; Plethodontidae.
UAGUAAAAUAAGCUAAAUAAGCUUUUGGGCCCAUACCCCAAAAAUGUUGGUUAAUCUCCCUCUUUUACUAA